UGGAGCUUGCGGUUUAAUUUGGAUUCAACGCCGGAAAUCUUACCGGGACCGACAGCAAUAUGAAGGCCAGGCUGAAGACUUUGCCGGAUUAGCUGAGAGGUGGUGCAUGGCCGUCGUCAGUUCGUACUGUGAAGCAUCCUGUUAAGUCAGGCAACGAGCGAGACCCACGCCCACAGUUGCCAGCGUACUCUCUGGAGUGACGGGUACACUGUGGGACCGCCGCUGCUAAAGCGGAGGAAGGAAUGGGCAACGGUAGGUCAGUAUGCCCCGAAUAUCCCGGGCUACACGCGAGCUACAAUGGUUGGUACAAUGGGUAUCUACCCCGAAAGGGGACGGGAAUCUCCUAAAACCAAUCUUAGUUCGGAUUGAGGGCUGCAACUCGCCCUCAUGAAGCUGGAAUCCGUAGUAAUCGCGUUUCAACAGAACGCGGUGAAUACGUCCCUGCUCCUU
RNAcentral lists this ribosomal RNA (450 nucleotides) under uncultured Methanosaeta sp. Its description in RNAcentral is "bacterial SSU rRNA". It matches the Rfam family "Archaeal small subunit ribosomal RNA", at positions 889 to 1338 of the family's 1478-position model. The record is from RNAcentral. Lineage: Archaea; Methanobacteriati; Methanobacteriota; Methanomicrobia; Methanotrichales; Methanotrichaceae.